RNAcentral lists this transfer RNA (78 nucleotides) under bacterium. Its description in RNAcentral is "tRNA-Pro". It matches the Rfam family "tRNA". From Rfam's summary of the family: Transfer RNA (tRNA) molecules are approximately 80 nucleotides in length. The record is from RNAcentral. RNAcentral also lists the same sequence under 2 other names.
CGGGACGUAACUCAGUCUGGCUAGAGUGCAUGCUUUGGGAGCAUGAGGUCGUAGGUUCAAAUCCUAUCGUCCCGACCA